This 360-nucleotide ribosomal RNA is filed under the name uncultured bacterium. RNAcentral's name for it is "bacterial SSU rRNA". It matches the Rfam family "Bacterial small subunit ribosomal RNA", at positions 543 to 903 of the family's 1533-position model. The record is from RNAcentral.
AAUCGGAAUUACUGGGCGUAAGCGCACGCAGGCGGUUUGUUAAGCUAGAUGUGAAAGCCCCGGGCUCAACCUGGGAUGGUCAUUUAGAACUGGCAGACUAGAGUCUUGGAGAGGGGAGUGGAAUUCCAGGUGUAGCGGUGAAAUGCGUAGAUAUCUGGAGGAACAUCAGUGGCGAAGGCGACUCCCUGGCCAAAGACUGACGCUCAUGUGCGAAAGUGUGGGUAGCGAACAGGAUUAGAUACCCUGGUAGUCCACACCGUAAACGCUGUCUACUAGCUGUGUGUGCCUUUAAGGCGUGCGUAGCGAAGCUAACGCGAUAAGUAGACCGCCUGGGGAGUACGGCCGCAAGGUUAAAACUCA